UCCACAUGGUGUUGAGCCUGAGGAUGCAC
RNAcentral lists this non-coding RNA (29 nucleotides) under Homo sapiens (human). The record is from RNAcentral. Lineage: Eukaryota; Metazoa; Chordata; Mammalia; Primates; Hominidae.